GCGAAAGUGGCGGAAUUGGUAGACGCACUGGAUUUAGGUUCCAGCGCCGCAAGGCGUGCAGGUUCGAUUCCUGUCUUUCGCACCA
RNAcentral lists this transfer RNA (85 nucleotides) under Ferriphaselus amnicola. RNAcentral describes it as "tRNA-Leu". It matches the Rfam family "tRNA". From Rfam's summary of the family: Transfer RNA (tRNA) molecules are approximately 80 nucleotides in length. Their secondary structure includes four short double-helical elements and three loops (D, anti-codon, and T loops). The record is from RNAcentral. Lineage: Bacteria; Pseudomonadati; Pseudomonadota; Betaproteobacteria; Nitrosomonadales; Gallionellaceae. RNAcentral also lists the same sequence under 4 other names.